GAUGAACGCUGGCGGCGUGCUUAACACAUGCAAGUCGAACGGUGAACACGGAGCUUGCUCUGUGGGAUCAGUGGCGAACGGGUGAGUAACACGUGAGCAACCUGCCCCUGACUCUGGGAUAAGCGCUGGAAACGGCGUCUAAUACUGGAUACGAGUAGCGGCCGCAUGGUCAGUUACUGGAAAGAUUUUUUGGUUGGGGAUGGGCUCGCGGCCGAUCAGUUUGUUGGUGAGGUAAUGGCUCACCAAGGCGUCGACGGGUAGCCGGCCUGAGAGGGUGACCGGCCACACUGGGACUGAGACACGGCCCAGACUCCUACGGGAGGCAGCAGUGGGGAAUAUUGCACAAUGGGCGAAAGCCUGAUGCAGCAACGCCGCGUGAGGGAUGACGGCCUUCGGGUUGUAAACCUCUUUUAGCAGGGAAGAAGCGAAAGUGACGGUACCUGCAGAAAAAGCGCCGGCUAACUACGUGCCAGCCGCCGCCGUAA
Molecule: ribosomal RNA, 485 nt
Filed under: uncultured bacterium
Lineage: Bacteria
Description: partial 16S ribosomal RNA
Rfam family: Bacterial small subunit ribosomal RNA
Source: RNAcentral